AAAUUUGGUACAUAUGGCGGCGCAUCGUGUUGCGUUGAAUACGAUCGAGUGAAGUGUUGAAUAUUGCAACGAAAGUUUUUACUGUAAAAUUGUGAGCUUUUGUAAUAACUAAAUAAGGUUAUCUUGUUUUUACGUCCUUGGCAUCAAGAUGCUGAAAGUGUAACUGACAAGUACCAUUAGAAAAAUCUGAUCGAUGAAAAGGUAAACAAUGUCCAGCAGCAGUUCUGAAAGUAGUGACGAUAGUCGUCACGAAAAAUCACGGAGAAGACGUAAACAUAGACGCGACGAGAGCCCUAACCAAGACAGACGAUCAAACAGAAAGGAAUCAAGCAGCAAGAAUAAAAAUUACAGAGACAGUAGAGAAGGUAGGGACGUUCAUAAAUUUAGCAGAGACGUAAGAAGAGAAAAUAAUGAUGUGCAUCGUGAUAGAUCGCAACGCGAACGGGAUAGGGAAUAUAGGAAUAGUCGACAUGAUCAUCCAAGGAGAGACGAUGACAAACAGAAUGACAGGAGAAGGUUUGAAAGAUCUCCCUUGAGAAGAGAAGAACCUCGUUCAAGGCACAGAGAGUAUGAGGAAAAAGGAAGGAGGUAUAAUAGGGAUGCAGCUGAACACAGAAGAUACGAUGAUAAUAGAGAAAGGAAAAACACUUUUGAAGAAUCAAAAAUGAGAAAGGAACACCCUUCACCAGAAUGGGGUAAACCAAAUGUGAAAACAGAACCUAAACCAAAGCCUCAAGAAAAGGAAAAACCAAAUUUUGAGUUGUCUGGAAAAUUAACAGAAGAUGCAAAUACUGUAAAUGGAGUAGUCAUUAAAUAUUCUGAACCAUCGGAUGCAAGAAAACCUAAACGUAGAUGGAGAUUAUAUCCCUUCAAAGGGGAAAAAGCAUUACCUACAUUGUAUGUUCACAGACAAUCGGCAUAUUUGAUGGGUAGAGAUCGGAAGAUUGCUGAUAUUCCUUUGGAUCAUCCUUCGUGUUCAAAACAACAUGCGGUUUUACAGUAUCGUUUAGUAUCUUUUCAAAGAGAAGGAGGUGGUGAAGGAAGAAGAAUCCGCCCUUACCUUAUAGAUUUAGAGUCUGCGAAUGGUACAUUUGUAAAUAAUGUAAAAUUAGAACCUCGAAGAUAUCACGAAUUACUGGAGAGAGAUGUAUUACGUUUUGGAUUCAGCUCUAGAGAAUAUGUCUUGUUACAUGAACACAGCAAAGAUGAUUCCUUAGACGACGAUGUUCCCUUAAGUACCACAAAUACAACAACUACUGUUACUACUACUACUACAACUACCGCAUAGGUGCUACAACAAGUCAGUGAUUAAUAACUAAAACUGAUACAGUUACAGUUAAAAACUUUCUGCCACAGUAAACCUAUAAUUAAUGCUCCAGAUAUUUCGGUGUCUCGCUGGACUGCGAUGUGAGCGUCGCAUUAUGAGAAUUCUGAA
RNAcentral lists this unclassified non-coding RNA (1435 nucleotides) under Megachile rotundata (alfalfa leafcutting bee). RNAcentral's name for it is "smad nuclear-interacting protein 1, transcript variant X2". Lineage: Eukaryota; Metazoa; Arthropoda; Insecta; Hymenoptera; Megachilidae. The record is from RNAcentral.